GUCACGGAGAGGAAGAGGAAGCAGCGCUCGGUGGGGACCGGAGGAGAAACGGGGCCUAGCUGAGAGAGGGCGGCCCUUCGAGGCCCUUUCUUUCCAAACCGGAGAGACCGGGGUUUCUGAGAAGGAGACCAGAGAGCCAGGACAAAGGAGCCACUUAGAAUGUGAAUGAGAAAGUACUCACGUGACCAACGCCCGGAGCGGCUGGUGGAGCCCCCAGCAGUGCCAAGUUUGAGCCCAGCGUGGGCAACUGGGUCUUGCUAAAUAUAGUCCAGGCUCACCGUGGCUGCCUCACUGCUCACUGAAUGCUGGACUGCAGGCUUCACCACCACUCCCUGGUCUACACGAUUUUUAAUGUAUUGAUACAUUUAAUUCUCACCAUCAUCUUAUAUGGUGUGCCAUGGUGUUUCUGCUCUGCAUUGCCUGGUUGUCGUCCUUGCUUUGCAGUUGGCUGAUUAUGGUCUGAAACCUCUAUGAAUCGUAAGCCAAAUAAACCCCUUCCCCUUUGCCUUUGGAUGUCUGGUAUUUUGUUUCAGCAAUGAGAGCAAAGUAACUAACACAGACAUUUGGUACCAGAGAAGUGGGGUCGUUGCUGUGACAUUACUUGGCCAUGUGGCUCAAAAGCCUUUGGAACUGGCUUGUGGGAAGAAGAGUUAGGAAAGAUCCAGAGACAUUGACUACAGCAGCAGCUCUGGAACGUCUUAGGUUGUUCUGUAUGGGAGAUUCUGGUCAGAGCUCAGAAGACCAGAAAGCCAGUAGAGACCAGCUGUAGGAGGUUUUUUCUAGGAAGAAGGACUGCAUUGGCUGCUGGACUCCAGAAGAUGUUUGUUUUGACAUGACAGAAAGUUUUUCCGAAUUUUGCUCAUGUUCAGAGACUUUGCUGGAAGAUUCAGAGCUACCAGCUGAAAAAGUAGGGCUGAAACACCUUAGGCUGUUCUGUAUGGGAGAUUCUGGUCAGAGAUCAGAAGGCCAGAAAGCUUAUAAAGACCAGGCUGGGAAAGUUUCUGCUAGGAAGAAGGACUGCAUUGGCUGUUGGACUCCAGAUGAUAUAUGUUACGGCUUGGCAGAAAGUUUGUCUGCAUUUUGUUCAUGUCCAGAGACUUUGCCUGAGACUGAGAUUAAGGGUGGUGGUCUAAUUAAUCUUGCAGAAGAAAUUUCAAGGCAGUCGAAUAUUGAGGCAGUGGCAUGGCUGCUGUUGGGGGCUUUUAGCCAGGUCUAUGUGGAGAAUCAAGAGCAAAGAUUUAGUGCUUCCCCUGCCGGAUUUUGGACUUGCUUUGGUCCCUUUCCUUUGUGUCCUCCUGUCUGUACCUUCGGGAAUGGGAACGUCUACCUUGUGCCGUUGAACGUUGGAAGGGUUUGACUUCCUUUUCGGUUGCACAGCGGUUAAGAGCUUGGCUUAAAUCUCAGAGACUUUGGACUUGGGCUUUUCAGCAGUGCGGAAACGGUUAGGACUUGGCAGCCCUUAGGGACGGAGUGAAUGCCUUUGGUGUAAAGGAGCGUGCAUGAACCAAGACGCGUCGCGCACAGGUACACGACCCCAGUGAUGACGGUAACGGUGCUGCGUGCCUAAAAUGGACCCAUAAACUGAAUGGGAAAAAGAAUGUCAAUGACUUAGGUACAACUAGUAAAUGUCAGUUAAAGUGAUGACACUUGACAAUGUCUUUUAAUACCUUGUUGUUUUUUUAAUACUUGUGUGCUUUGGG
Molecule: long non-coding RNA, 1700 nt
Organism: Heterocephalus glaber (naked mole-rat)
Lineage: Eukaryota; Metazoa; Chordata; Mammalia; Rodentia; Bathyergidae
Source: Ensembl